GUCCAGACUCCUACGGGAGGCAGCAGUGGGGAAUAUUGCACAAUGGGCGCAAGCCUGAUGCAGCCAUGCCGCGUGUAUGAAGAAGGCCUUCGGGUUGUAAAGUACUUUCAGCGGGGAGGAAGGGAGUAAAGUUA
Molecule: ribosomal RNA, 134 nt
Filed under: Escherichia fergusonii
Lineage: Bacteria; Pseudomonadati; Pseudomonadota; Gammaproteobacteria; Enterobacterales; Enterobacteriaceae
Description: partial 16S ribosomal RNA
Rfam family: Bacterial small subunit ribosomal RNA
Source: RNAcentral